Molecule: long non-coding RNA, 455 nt
Organism: Spinacia oleracea (spinach)
Lineage: Eukaryota; Viridiplantae; Streptophyta; Magnoliopsida; Caryophyllales; Amaranthaceae
Exons: 2
Source: RefSeq, a predicted model, not a curated record
GUUUAUGCAGGUCGUCAUAGCAGAUGAGUCGCAUUAUUUGAAGAAUGCUCAAGCAAAGAGGACAUUUGCCUCUCUUCCGGUUAUAGAGAAAGCGCAGUAUGCAAUUGAGAUUCGUAUUAACAUGAAUCUGGCGCAAAGCGUAUGAAGAUAAUUGGAGUGAUGGGCCUGAAGACUUGACAGGUCAUUCUCGGUUUGGAGUCAGCUUGAUCACCUCUUGCUGCUUGCAGUAUAGUACAACUUUGAUUGGUAUGCUUUCUACUGUAAUCGGCUUUAAAGUACGAGUAGACUGCUUUUGAAGUUUGCUAAAGAUUAACUGUAGAACUUUGUUAUUAAAUCAUUGUAUUGGCUACAAAAUCUCCAAAAAGAAAUACACUCUGAAGAAGCAGGUUUGUAUAUCCCAUAGCAGUUGAAUGUGAUUCUAUGGAAUAAAUAUAAGAGAAGCUGAUUAAUUGUGA